This 520-nucleotide ribosomal RNA is filed under the name uncultured bacterium. Its description in RNAcentral is "bacterial SSU rRNA". It matches the Rfam family "Bacterial small subunit ribosomal RNA", at positions 988 to 1509 of the family's 1533-position model. The record is from RNAcentral.
CCAGAGAAUUUAGCAGAGAUGCUUUAGUGCCUUCGGGAACUCUGAGACAGGUGCUGCAUGGCUGUCGUCAGCUCGUGUUGUGAAAUGUUGGUUAAGUCCCGCAACGAGCGCAACCCCUAUCCUUUGUUGCCAGCGAUUCGGUCGGGAACUCAAAGGAGACUGCCGGUGAUAAACCGGAGGAAGGUGGGGAUGACGUCAAGUCAUCAUGGCCCUUACGAGUAGGGCUACACACGUGCUACAAUGGCGCAUACAAAGAGAAGCGACCUCGCGAGAGCAAGCGGACCUCAUAAAGUGCGUCGUAGUCCGGAUUGGAGUCUGCAACUCGACUCCAUGAAGUCGGAAUCGCUAGUAAUCGUAGAUCAGAAUGCUACGGUGAAUACGUUCCCGGGCCUUGUACACACCGCCCGUCACACCAUGGGAGUGGGUUGCAAAAGAAGUAGAUAGCUUAACCUUCGGGAGGGCGUUUACCACUUUGUGAUUCAUGACUGGGGUGAAGUCGUAACAAGGUAAGCGUAGCGAG